UACGAAGGUCCCAAGCGUUAUCCGGAUUUAUUGGGUUUAAAGGGUGCGUAGGCGGCUUAUUAAGUCAGUGGUGAAAGCCCCAAGCUUAACUUGGGAACUGCCAUUGAUACUGAUGAGCUUGAGUAGAUUUGAGGCGGGCGGAAUGUGUCGUGUAGCGGUGAAAUGCCUAGAUAUGACACAGAACACCAAUUGCGUAGGCAGCUCGCUAAACUCUUACUGACGCUGAGGCACGAAAGCAUGGGGAUCAAACAGG
RNAcentral lists this ribosomal RNA (253 nucleotides) under uncultured bacterium. Its description in RNAcentral is "partial 16S ribosomal RNA". It matches the Rfam family "Bacterial small subunit ribosomal RNA", at positions 524 to 776 of the family's 1533-position model. The record is from RNAcentral.